AACGCACCUUGCGCUCCUUGGUAUUCCGAGGAGCAUGCCUGUUUGAGUGUCAUGUUAAUAUCAACCCCGUCGGUUUGUAAAUCAGACCGUUGGGUGUUGGACUUGGAGGUUCUUGCUGGCUGCAAAGUCGGCUCCUCUUGAAUGCAUUAGCUUGGGCCUGUUGUGCGUGCUCGCGGUGUAAUAAGUUUUAUUCAUCGUUUGGGUCGUACACUUAUUGGGCUUGCUUCUAACUGUCUUCGGACAAAUAUAACCUUUGACUCUGACCUCAAAUCAGGUAGGACUACCCGCUGAACUUAA
Molecule: unclassified non-coding RNA, 297 nt
Filed under: Trichaptum sp.
Lineage: Eukaryota; Fungi; Basidiomycota; Agaricomycetes; Hymenochaetales; Trichaptaceae
Also listed under: 2 other names
Description: partial contains 5.8S ribosomal RNA, internal transcribed spacer 2, and large subunit ribosomal RNA
Rfam family: 5.8S ribosomal RNA (bases 1-52)
Source: RNAcentral